AUUUUUCAAGGUGCUUGUAAUAUAAGCCCUACCUCCCAAAAUAAGCCCCAGUUAAGUUCGUCAGCCAGAUGGAUGCUGUAAGGCUUCC
Notechis scutatus (mainland tiger snake) is the source of this 88-nucleotide non-coding RNA. The record is from RefSeq and is a predicted model, not a curated record. NCBI's taxonomy places the organism in Eukaryota, Metazoa, Chordata, Lepidosauria, Squamata, Elapidae.